UAUUCUCUCGUUUAGGCCAUAUUUGUUUGUGUUACGACAAACGCACAAACGGAAACGAAAUGACGAACACAAAAAACAAUCAAACCACAAGCAAAAAAUAAAGAGACACAGAUUUACGUGAAAAACCCUUUACAGGGAAAAAACCACGGGCGAGGGAGGAGAGAGCUUCACUAUGGAACGAAAAGGGAAUACAAUGUUCUUCUGAUUACAACCGACCACGAUCAUACGCCUCUACGGGCAGCCCGAGCCCUCCGCUACCCACCACAGACAUUCAUUUUUCCUCCAUAAUUUUCUUUUCCAAAUUGGUCGCACCGCGAAGCUGUCGGCGAGUCGUAAACCCGAACGUGAAAACGAUAGUAGAUUUCGAGUCACAUCUGACAGUUUGAAUGUCAGAAUUUUCUUAUAUGAUUAGUUAAAAAUAAGGAGAUUGAUUUUUGUCGCUUGAAUUAAAAGUUCUGGUAUUCAUGUUUUGGUACCUACAAAAGUAAGUAAUUUAUCUAUUCUGAAAAAAUAAAUUAAAUAUUUAGAGGGGAAAUCCAAAUUUUCUCUUCUUUCCUUACGAUUUCCUUCACUAUACUUUCUCCUCUAAUUAGAUUUCUCCUCUUUCCUUCUCAAAUUUCAAUAUAAAAUUGGAAAUUAAGCCAUCACCUCUCAUGCAAAGGUGAAAUUUUAAUCCCACAAUGGAAAUGAAAUUAAAAUCACAUCUAUUUAUAUUUUGGAGUGCGGCUUAGCUGAACUAUGUAUCAUUUUGAAUCGGCUACUAAAUCUUUCAAAAUUUUGAUUUUACUAUAGAAUAUUUUAAUUUGUUUGAUUAGAAUCAGUCGAUAGUACUUGACUAGAAGUUUAAGCUAAUAACUUUUAUAAGUUUAUAGUUGCGGGAUUCUAUGAAGUAUUCUAACUAAAUUCGUAAAAAUAAACAAUGUAUUAAAAUUUUAAAAUUAAAGCACUAUCGAUUGACUCAAAUAAAUUAAAUUUUUUUGAAAGGUUGAGUAGCUAAUUUAAAAUGCUUCAUAGUUCAAGUAAGUUUUAUACAUUUUUCUUAUCUUUAUUUUGUAAAUAAAAUUUUAUAUAUAAAAAUGUGCAGG
This 1085-nucleotide long non-coding RNA is filed under the name Ananas comosus (pineapple). RNAcentral's name for it is "long non-coding RNA (ACOM_LNC009706)". Lineage: Eukaryota; Viridiplantae; Streptophyta; Magnoliopsida; Poales; Bromeliaceae. The record is from RNAcentral.